This 253-nucleotide ribosomal RNA is filed under the name uncultured bacterium. RNAcentral's name for it is "partial 16S ribosomal RNA". It matches the Rfam family "Bacterial small subunit ribosomal RNA", at positions 524 to 776 of the family's 1533-position model. The record is from RNAcentral.
UACAGAGGUCCCGAGCGUUGUUCGGAUUCACUGGGCGUAAAGGGUGCGUAGGUGGUGAGGUAAGUCGGAUGUGAAAUCUCCGGGCUCAACCCGGAAAUGGCAUUGGAAACUACCUUGCUGGAGGAUUUGAGGGGGGAUUGGAAUACUUGGUGUAGCAGUGAAAUGCGUAGAUAUCAAGUGGAACACCAGUGGCGAAGGCGAAUCCCUGGAAAAUACCUGACACUGAGGCACGAAAGCGUGGGGAGCAAACAGG